Molecule: ribosomal RNA, 253 nt
Filed under: uncultured bacterium
Lineage: Bacteria
Description: partial 16S ribosomal RNA
Rfam family: Bacterial small subunit ribosomal RNA
Source: RNAcentral
UACGUAGGGCGCAAGCGUUGUCCGGAAUUAUUGGGCGUAAAGAGCUCGUAGGCGGCUUGUCGCGUCGUUCGUGAAAACCCGGGGCUCAACUCCGGGCUUGCGGGCGAUACGGGCAGGCUAGAGUUCGGUAGGGGAGACUGGAAUUCCUGGUGUAGCGGUGAAAUGCGCAGAUAUCAGGAGGAACACCGGUGGCGAAGGCGGGUCUCUGGGCCGAUACUGACGCUGAGGAGCGAAAGCGUGGGGAGCGAACAGG